CCUACGGGAGGCAGCAGUGGGGAAUCUUGGACAAUGGGCGAAAGCCUGAUCCAGCGACGCCGCGUGGGGGAUGAAGCCCUUCGGGGUGUAAACCCCUGUUGCGAGGGAGGAAUAAGGCCUGGAGGAAAUGCCAGGCCGAUGACUGUACCUCGCGAGGAAGCCCCGGCUAACUACGUGCCAGCAGCCGCGGUAAUACGUAGGGGGCGAGCGUUACCCGGAUUCACUGGGCGUAAAGCGGGUGUAGGCGGCUCGGUAAGUCGGGUGUGAAAUCCCACAGCUCAUCUGUGGAAUUGCGCCCGAAACUGCUGAGCUUGGGGCCGGUAGAGGGAGACGGAACUGCCGGUGUAGGGGUGAAAUCCGUAGAUAUCGGCAGGAACGCCGGUGGGGAAGCCGGUCUCCUGGGCCGCGCCCGACGCUGAGACCCGAAAGCUAGGGGAGCAAACC
RNAcentral lists this ribosomal RNA (444 nucleotides) under uncultured Thermotoga sp. RNAcentral describes it as "bacterial SSU rRNA". It matches the Rfam family "Bacterial small subunit ribosomal RNA", at positions 338 to 774 of the family's 1533-position model. The record is from RNAcentral. Lineage: Bacteria; Thermotogati; Thermotogota; Thermotogae; Thermotogales; Thermotogaceae.